GACAGAGGGUGCAAACGUUGCUCGGAAUUACUGGGCGUAAAGCGCAUGUAGGCGGCUUUGUAAGUCGGAUGUGAAAGCCCUCGGCUUAACCGAGGAAGUGCAUUCGAUACUGCAGAGCUAGAGUAUCGGAGAGGGUCGUGGAAUUCCUGGUGUAGAGGUGAAAUUCGUAGAUAUCAGGAGGAACACCGGCGGCGAAGGCGGCGACCUGGACGAAUACUGACGCUCAGAUGCGAAAGCGUGGGUAGCAAACAGG
RNAcentral lists this ribosomal RNA (253 nucleotides) under uncultured bacterium. Its description in RNAcentral is "partial 16S ribosomal RNA". It matches the Rfam family "Bacterial small subunit ribosomal RNA", at positions 524 to 776 of the family's 1533-position model. The record is from RNAcentral.